This 292-nucleotide ribosomal RNA is filed under the name uncultured Acinetobacter sp. RNAcentral describes it as "partial 16S ribosomal RNA". It matches the Rfam family "Bacterial small subunit ribosomal RNA", at positions 505 to 796 of the family's 1533-position model. Lineage: Bacteria; Pseudomonadati; Pseudomonadota; Gammaproteobacteria; Moraxellales; Moraxellaceae. The record is from RNAcentral.
GUGUCAGCAGCCGCGGUAAUACAGAGGGUGCGAGCGUUAAUCGGAUUUACUGGGCGUAAAGCGUGCGUAGGCGGCUUUUUAAGUCGGAUGUGAAAUCCCUGAGCUUAACUUAGGAAUUGCAUUCGAUACUGGGAAGCUAGAGUAUGGGAGAGGAUGGUAGAAUUCCAGGUGUAGCGGUGAAAUGCGUAGAGAUCUGGAGGAAUACCGAUGGCGAAGGCAGCCAUCUGGCCUAAUACUGACGCUGAGGUGCGAAAGCAUGGGGAGCAAACAGGAUUAGAAACCCGUGUAGUCC